Molecule: ribosomal RNA, 516 nt
Filed under: uncultured bacterium
Lineage: Bacteria
Description: bacterial SSU rRNA
Rfam family: Bacterial small subunit ribosomal RNA
Source: RNAcentral
GAACUUGGCAGAGAUGCCUUGGUGCCUUCGGGAACGCUGAGACAGGUGCUGCAUGGCUGUCGUCAGCUCGUGUUGUGAAAUGUUGGGUUAAGUCCCGNAACGAGCGCAACCCUUAUCCUUUGUUGCCAGCGAUUCGGUCGGGAACUCAAAGGAGACUGCCGGUGAUAAACCGGAGGAAGGUGGGGAUGACGUCAAGUCAUCAUGGCCCUUACGAGUAGGGCUACACACGUGCUACAAUGGCGCAUACAAAGAGAAGCGACCUCGCGAGAGCAAGCGGACCUCAUAAAGUGCGUCGUAGUCCGGAUCGGAGUCUGCAACUCGACUCCGUGAAGUCGGAAUCGCUAGUAAUCGUGGAUCAGAAUGCCACGGUGAAUACGUUCCCGGGCCUUGUACACACCGCCCGUCACACCAUGGGAGUGGGUUGCAAAAGAAGUAGGUAGCUUAACCUUCGGGAGGGCGCUUACCACUUUGUGAUUCAUGACUGGGGUGAAGUCGUAACAAGGUAGGCGUAGCGAG